GCAUGAUAAUGCGUGCAGGCCUGCAUAGCGGGGUGUUGCAUGUAGGUAUGUGCACUUAACUGUGCGUGUGUUACCAUUUUAAACGAAGAUGAGUUUUCACCCCCCUACUUUAGUUUUGGUGACAAUCAGUUUGAGUAGUCUUUGCAAUAUAAUGUAAAAUAUUUAAUAUUAUAUGUUUGUAUGACUACAGUAUAUACAGUCGUCUCCAUAAUGCUUGGGACCAUUUUUACAUCUAUUUCACUAAAUUAUGUCAGUAAAGGUUUGAGGCAACAUGGAAACUUGCAGUUUCAAUAACGAUAAUUGUUAUGCAUAAUGAUAAUAUUGAACAUUAUUACACAUAAUAUGUUUAACCGCAUGUUGACUCUCAGCUGCAAAAAGAGAUGUGAAAAUAGUUUUUUUUCCCCCUGUUUCCCAGCUUGCUUCAGUAGGAAGGCUGUGAUUUUGGUUGGUUUACUGUUUGAUUUUUUUUUUUUAAACACAAUAAACUGUAGGAAUACAAUGCCCAUAAGAUCCUGCAGGAAAAAAAAAUUGUGAUUGAGUGAGGUUUGUCCUAUGACAUAUGCCUGCAUUUAUGUUUAGUACUGUGAAAUCCAUUAAAUAUUCAAAAAGUGUUUUCAGUACUGAUGUCCUUCGUUGACAAUAUCCCGCAUUUACAAAGGACUUACUCUGUCAUUGAAGUGGGCCUGAGUUCCACUGCACCAAGUGCCCAAAUGCUACCUGUUGUCACCAGUGAGAGCCACGCUAAUCCUCUAGUUGGAGGUAGUGCAUGGAGUACACCUGUAGUGUGUGGCAAAAUCUCUGGCUUGUGCGUUUGAGGAGAGCAAAAGCUUCAACUGCAGUUGUUCUUGCUAGGGGUUCAGGUGACCGCACAAGGUCGGGGGACACAACUGGAAAUUACAGAUUGAAACUAGGAGUAACAUUGGUCUGUGUGGGAGGGCUUCUGAUAAUUGGUAUGCCUGGAGAGCAUGAGCUUACCGUAGCAAUGUGUUAUCCCAUACUCGCAUUGUUGUCUAAGGGAAGGGUUGGUUUUGUUUUGAUGAAUGGUACUCAAGGUACUGAUGCUAUGCAACCUAUAUCCAUCACGCAAAUCAUUUCUGCGAACUAAUCCAUCUUAUCUCAGCAAAAUGAUGAGCGUGCGCGUCCUCUUGAGUUCUAGCAUAGUCUGCUGUUAACGUAUGGAACUGUUGUGUGGAUCCUGGGUCUCCGCAGAAGAACUUCACCACAUCCUUGAAACUUUGAACAGGGCAGGUUUAUUUCCCCUCACGGACAUACGGCCUGAUUUAUUGACACCUUUAGCAAAACCAACAACGCAACCAGUGAUUGGUCAUGGCAUUUGUUUUGCGCCAAUCAAUGGUUGUGUUAUUCAUUUUGCGAGUGCUAAAAUGUUUUGCACUUGCUGAAGGUUUCAGUAAGUCAGGCCCAUACUGGCUGGCUGAGAGCUGGAUUGAUGGAGUGAGUUGAACACUCGGCAGAGGGGUGUGAUAUUGCUGAUCAGGCACGGGGGAGCGGUCAAUUACACAAACUUUGGAAAAGAAAUACACUCGUCUGCGUAUUUGCUGAAGGGACCUUUCUUGUCAACAGGCACGAAAAAAAACAACUGCAGUGCUCAUCUUGUUUCCUUAUGUAAUUAUUCUUGCACUUAAAAUUAAAAAGACAAAGCAAUAAUGAACUGUGUCCUUUUCUUAUAGCACACACUCCAAACGCAUCAUGCAUACACAUGCUUUCGGCAUAUUAUGCACACACACACACACACACAAAUUAAAUAGCACACACACAUGCACAUGCACUCACUGAACACACUCUAAACUGUAGGCAAAUAAUGUAUGAUGUAGUUAGUAAGUUGAAAAAGUCAUUCUAAUUUUGAGCUGAAAGGUUAGUGUGUGCUAAAUGGCAUUCUCUGGCAGCACGUGACCAAUCCAGUCUCUCGUCAUGUAAAGAGCUCUGGUCACAGUGAACGCGAGUCGCCCCGAAAACAAUGAUGUGUUCAUUCAUGCAGUCAGUUGUUGUUACAUUACAUUCUAUUAUUUUAAUCUUCAGAAAAUUAACUGCUGUGUCAAUGUUUCCUUUUCUCUGCAUGGUUAAAAAAAUGCGCUGUAAGGUAACCCUGAAACAAAAAGAGCUGUACCUCUGAUUACAGAAUCAUGGUGACGCACAUGUAUGUUUUUGUUUGGUUUUGUUUUAAAUAGGUUUAUUAAUUUAUCUCCAGGUUUUGUUUACUGUAAAUGCAUUGCUUCAUUGUCAUUUUCACCAGUUGUAGUUUAACGCAAUGUUUUAGCACACUUAUGAGGAUUGUUUUGUUUUUAAAUAAAUUAAUGUUGGAGAGACAACAA
Molecule: long non-coding RNA, 2330 nt
Organism: Anguilla rostrata (American eel)
Lineage: Eukaryota; Metazoa; Chordata; Actinopteri; Anguilliformes; Anguillidae
Exons: 2
Source: RefSeq, a predicted model, not a curated record